GAUCAUGGCUCAGGAUGAACGCUGGCGGCGUGCUUAACACAUGCAAGUCGAACGAAGCACUUUAAUUGAUUUCUUCGGAAUGAAGUUUUUGUGACUGAGUGGCGGACGGGUGAGUAACGCGUGGGUAACCUGCCUCAUACAGGGGGAUAACAGUUGGAAACGACUGCUAAUACCGCAUAAGCGCACAGGACCGCAUGGUCCGGUGUGAAAAACUCCGGUGGUGUGAGAUGGACCCGCGUUUGA
This 243-nucleotide ribosomal RNA is filed under the name uncultured bacterium. RNAcentral describes it as "partial 16S ribosomal RNA". It matches the Rfam family "Bacterial small subunit ribosomal RNA", at positions 15 to 240 of the family's 1533-position model. The record is from RNAcentral.